RNAcentral lists this ribosomal RNA (253 nucleotides) under uncultured bacterium. RNAcentral's name for it is "partial 16S ribosomal RNA". It matches the Rfam family "Bacterial small subunit ribosomal RNA", at positions 524 to 776 of the family's 1533-position model. The record is from RNAcentral.
UACGUAGGGUGCGAGCGUUGUCCGGAAUUACUGGGCGUAAAGAGCUCGUAGGUGGUUUGUCGCGUUGUUCGUGAAAUCUCACGGCUUAACUGUGAGCGUGCGGGCGAUACGGGCAGACUGGAGUACUGCAGGGGAGACUGGAAUUCCUGGUGUAGCGGUGGAAUGCGCAGAUAUCAGGAGGAACACCGGUGGCGAAGGCGGGUCUCUGGGCAGUAACUGACGCUGAGGAGCGAAAGCGUGGGGAUCAAACAGG